RNAcentral lists this ribosomal RNA (402 nucleotides) under uncultured prokaryote. RNAcentral's name for it is "bacterial SSU rRNA". It matches the Rfam family "Bacterial small subunit ribosomal RNA", at positions 355 to 774 of the family's 1533-position model. The record is from RNAcentral.
UUUGGAAUAUUGCACAAUGGGCGAAAGCCUGAUGCAGCGACGCCGCGUGAGGGAAGAAGGUUUUCGGAUUGUAAACCUCUGUCUUCGGGGACGAAAAUGACGGUACCCGAGGAGGAAGCUACGGCUAACUACGUGCCAGCAGCCGCGGUAACACGUAGGAGGCAAACGUUAUCCGGAUUUACUGGGCGUAAAGCGCGUGUAGGUGGUUUGGUAAGUAGAGCGUGAAAGCUCCUGGCUCAACUGGGAGAGGUCGUUCUAAACUGCCGGACUAGAGGAUGGUAGAGGGAGGUGGAAUUCCGGGUGUAGCGGUGGAAUGCGCAGAUAUCCGGAGGAACACCAGUGGCGAAAGCGGCCUCCUGGACCACUCCUGACACUCAGACGCGAAAGCUAGGGUAGCAAACG